AAAGUCGUAACAAGGUUUCCGUAGGUGAACCUGCGGAAGGAUCAUUACAAAAAAAAAGAAGGAUAAGAUGUUGAAACGAGUGGAAAAGGAGGGAGAUUUUUCUUUUUUCUUUUCUUUCACUAAUUAUAUACUAUCCAUGGACGCAUAUUGAUCAAUCAAACAAUUAAUAUACAACACUUUUAACAAUGGAUCUCUUGGCUCUU
Molecule: unclassified non-coding RNA, 203 nt
Filed under: Basidiomycota sp.
Lineage: Eukaryota; Fungi; Basidiomycota
Description: partial contains small subunit ribosomal RNA, internal transcribed spacer 1, and 5.8S ribosomal RNA
Rfam family: Eukaryotic small subunit ribosomal RNA (bases 1-47)
Source: RNAcentral